CAUCCAAAGACUGCUGAGCUUUUAAAAAUACAAGCAUGGGAGGCUGUAUUGGCAUCUGAAUGCUUCUUUCCUUCCUUUUCUUCUCACUGAUAUACAAGGCUUUCUUCUGUGUAGAUCUAGGUAUUAAUGUUUCAGUGAACAUCUGGAAGGUGCUUCUUUUCAACAGGAUGCAGCUGCUAAUUUCUGGUUUUAUAGCAUUUCUGGAAAACCAAGUUCAGCUGUAACAAGAGUUACAAAGCCUCCAAAAGGACAGAUCUAUUAUCUUGAAUAAGGCACACUAUUAGAGUGAAAUUAUAACCUGCAGAGGAUUAGAAGCAGUGUAUUGGUGUGUACCCUUUGUUAAGCAGCCUUCGUGUGCCCAUGCAGUUCCACCUUGUGUCAUGCUGUGGCUAUAAUACCUAUGUAGAAAGAUAACCCAAUUGUAGUGCCAUUAGAUGAGGGUAAUUCCAUUAGCUACAUAUUGAUACAAAAACAAUUGAGAAUGGCAUUUGUCCCAAACCAGAGACAUGAGGAAAUGAGUAAAAUAGAUUUGAUGCCAAAUGCCAAGAAUUAGAUAUGGAAAACAACAGUUUAAUGACAUGCACAGUUUAAUGUGAAUGCACAAGCUGUAUAAAUUAAUCUGUAAAACAGCUUUUUCAAAUAUGUCCUACUGUUUCUGUGUGCCUUAAAUUAAGCAAGAAGAAUAUUAUUACCUUUUACAAAGAGUGUCCUUUUUUUGUUCUUCAGGGCAAGAAAUUCUAAGGUGACCAUUCACGUGAUCAUACAAACUGUAUUUAUCUCUGUCCAGCUCCCACUGGACUGAUGUUGAUGUCAUGGAAAUACCAUUCAUGACUAACUUGGUGCCAGCUGUAGCAAAGGGCAAUUCCAGACAGAGGUGGAGAUGGCAGUAAUGGUGGGUUUAAGCACACAGAUGAGCAAGAAUAGAGAAGUUCACUUUGACACUUAACAGCUGCCCCCAUAGUAGAUAAAAGGAGUACUUCAUUCCCCAGAGCUUUCAGUCUGUCUCUCCAUUCACUAUAUUCUUUUAAAAUUGAGUCUGUUUAGCUUCCACUGCCAGACACUCUGGCACAGUUCCUCAGGCACUUAAAUAUCAUUGCGGAUUUGGGCUUCCGAGCCUACAUCUUAUUUCCCUCUGAGGGGGAGGAAGCUUUGCAAGUAGAGUUAACUUUGCUAUAGAGGAAAUAAAUGCCACGAAACCUUUCUAUUAGAUUAAAACUGAUAAUAAAAAACAACCUCUGGCCCUCCAUGAGGUAUGUCUGUGAGCUGCAAAGCCCUUGUUGCCUGGGAUGCUGUGGAAAGGCUGGUUUAGGUGAGCAUCUCAUGUGGUUGGCUUCUAGUGAAGCCCAGGAUAAUUCUUUCUUCCUGUACGAUCUCCUUAUUUUUCUGUCCUCCAGCAGUAUGUAUGGAGUGCAUCCAACCCACAGAGAGCACAGAUGUAGCUACUCCAUAAAAGCUUCUGAAACAUCCUGUGUCUGACAUAAAUAAAAAUGACCUUUCAUAUCAAUCUCUAUCUCUGGCUGACAAUAAUUGGCUAGUCGUUUUAUAACAUGACAAGCACAUGCAGUGUGCUUGGCACAAACUUCACCAGUAUGGGCAAGAUGAGAUUUCACAAUUCUUUACUGCAUAAAGAUACUCAGAAGGCAUAUAUAAGUGUUUGUAUAUACGUCUCUGUGUCUGUACACGCAUACACACACAUAUAUAGGCUAUAAAACUAUGCAAUAGUAUUUUGCACGCAGAAAAGCAACACUUAUUGUAGUGUAGCAGCCUGAUUCUGUUAACAUGCUGGCAUAAAUCAGGGCAGCUGCAUCUAAAUCGGCAAAGAUGUAAGUAGAGGCAAAUUGCUUUCAAUGAAGAAUUGGGUGUAGAUUGCCUAGCUUAUCUGGAAGAUGGAAGAAAUAGCUUUAGACAGUUUAAUAUUGUCAUUUGUCUUGGAAAUAGAAACCAGAGAGUUGGCUAAUUUUUUUUUUUAAACUCUAGGUCUGAUAGGAUAAGGCUGUCUGAUUCUGAUGCUAGCAUAUAGUUUCCUGCCUUGAUUUAAAAAUAAAGCUAAUCUAGUAUAUUUUUGGAUUAAAUAAAUAAAAUCUUGCCACUGCAUUGUUUUUGAUAUUUCUGGAAAUCACUAUAUGAUUUAUUGAGUAAACUCUAGUAGCUGAAAAUAUUCUAUGAAUAUGAAAAAUAUUUUCUAGGAAGUUACAUGUGUUUUCUCUGAAAUGUCUAUGGCAGUUUCAUUUCCUGUGGUUUCAUAGUUUUAUUAAAUGUCAUUGUUUCUUCUUGGAGUAUAUGAUCUGUGCUCUCUAAACCAGAAGUAUGUCUAGAAGGGACUCAUUCAAUUUUCUUGCUUUAUAUCAUGUGUCUUUCCACUACAUAAAAGAACUUUGAAUCAACACUUUCUGCAUCAUUCAGUGUUUUUAAUUAUCUACACUUUCAACAUCAUCACUCUCUCAUGUCACACUGCAGGUUCACUGUUGUUUGUCUGUUGGGGUUCUUGAUUACAGAUGAUAGUUAAUGCUGGCCAGUUUUUGACUCCUGCAGGUCUCUUAUCAGAUGCUAGCAAGUUCUUAUUUUCUUCUGCAUCCUCUUGCAUGCUGUGGAUGGAGGGAGAUGUGGUCCUGAAGUGAGCUUGCAUGGGUUUUGCAUAAUAUUCAGCUGUUAUUCUGCAUAGUUUGAUGCUGAAGAAUAGCUCCGCAACUGUGUGCCUUCAAUCAGAAACAGACCAAGAGGUGAUGACCUUUAUUAGCCUGAUGUGUUUAUUGAAGUGCACUCUGAAUUCUUAGCAGAAAAUAAAAUAAAUAAAAAGAAUCCCCAACUCACUGAAAAGUCUGCAUCAUAAACAUAAGCUGCUUUUGUAGGAAUUUGUAUUAAAAAAAAAAAAAAGUAAAGUCUUCCUUUAUUUAUAUGUGAUGAUGGUGGGAGUGUUCUCUUAUGUGCAUCUGUUCUAUAACAUAAAUGUGUUUGUGGCUGGAGAUCUGAAACUGGAGUACAAUGAAUGCUUUUAACACCAGAAUGGAAGUAUUAUCUUCAUAAAAUUAGAGAAGAUUGGUUUGCAAGCAUGAAUAAAUGCUGUGUGGAUUUGAGGAGACAGUUUACUACAACACACCUGAUCAGUUAACUGAUCCAUCUGUUCUGGUUUUCUGCCUCUGGUAGUUUGUUACUUCAACGGAACAAGCAGGAUCUAAAAAUAAAGCAAGCAUGGAGGAAGGAGAGUUCAUCUCCUGACUUUUGCAAGCUGUCAAUUUAUUCAUUGCAAUGUGAAGUGUAGUUGGCAUCUGAUCAUUAUCUUGCCUUAACUGUUCUCUGUUAAUUUUAAAAACAAUGGGACAGUCUUGAGCUCUGUUGAUUUCUGUGAUAUGUUACAACACGAUCUGUGAGGCUCAGUGCUUACCUAUGUUUUGCAUAAAGCUGUGUUGGAUUUUACUGGUGUUGAUACAUAAUGACCUUGCUAAUUAACAUAUCUUGUUAUUGUCUCAUAGUUCAACACUUAAGGACGAAUAUAUUGAGACUGUAUUGAAACUUAUUUCAAUAAUUUUAUAAUUCAGCUUAGUUCAAAAUAAAAACAAAAGCACACUAUGAGGUCAGUCCUGUCUAGCUUAGUUGGCAAUAGAAGGCACUAAUUACUAUAAAUAUUUUUGAUCUACAUUGCUAAUUUAUAACUGACUCUAAGGUAAGGUCUCUUGUUCAAUUUGAAAUGCUAAUAUGUUUAUAUUGCUCAUAUGCAUUUAAAUGCUGUAGUAAUAGAAAAUACAAUAUAUCAGUAACUAAAAGGGUGUGUUUUAUCUCUGUUUUUACAAAAUUUACCAGUCUUCUCACUCAGUUUGAACACUAAAGGCACUGAACAGCCACAACCUCUCUCUGCCCAACAGCUGGUGUAUUACUGGGCCACUUGCCCUUUCCCAUUUUAAGUGGUGGGGGGAACGUGUGAUGGUGAAAUAGAGGCUUGGGUAACUAUGGAUGCUUGUAGGUAGCUUCAGACUCCUUUGAGUGUGCUUCUAAGCUUUCAGGUCAGCUCCUGCUUGUGAUUCUAGACAGUCCUGAGUAUGUUGAAGUAAGUAGUGCAGGUAUGUUUUUUCUCAUCUGUGUAGGUUUUAUUGUAAUUUUGUUUAGAAUGCAUAUUUGUAUAAAGGCAUGGCUUUUGAGUCUUGGAGAAACUACAGGCAAUAGGACUGUCAAGGUAAGAAUGCACUAAUGAGGUCAGCAUAAGCCUACCAAAAUGCAAUAACAGAACUUUAUUAAAUGUGAGGUGACACAGUAUCUGUAUGAUUCAGAUUGAAAAUGGGUGCCUAAAUCAGCAGGUGCACCUUAUUUAGAAAGAGAAAAAUAUGUUUGAGUGGAGCCUUAAUUCUAAACCUUGAAGUCUUAAAGGUGGAAAGUAUCUGUAAUCUAGAGGUGCUUAAAUUUGCAUUCUGAAAUUUCCAUGGCUCACAGUGCCUCUGAACGUGUGAAGAGCUGCUGCUGAUCAUCCUACACGCUACUGUAUUUUAUCCAAUUACCACUGUGUGAAAUACAAACAUUUCUGUGAUAUGAAGUAAACCCAGAACUAGCACUGCAGUAGUUACCUCCAAAAUGGUAAAUUGAAAAUACAACACUUUGAUGCCCUAGAUUCUUCAUCUGUAGAUGUUCACGCAGGGAGCAGGCAAUCCUGGAGGCAGACAGGCCUAUCAGUACCAAAGGUAAUCAGAUAAAUUACUCCCUCAUUCAAGGGACACUCAUCUGUUGUAGGUCACAUGCAUACUAGCCUUAAGGACAGGGUGCAGGUUCUCAAAUUAGAUCCCGUUAUUAGGAAAAUGUAGCAAAAUUCUGCUGUAUGCUUUACUAGACAAGCUAAUGAACCUAUAUAUGUUAUAAAUUAAGGCCAACAUAUCUCAGUUUUUCUCACCAAAAGUACAAAUACAUGGGUAAAACACAUACGACAUUUCAGUUUACUGAGCUUUGUAGGUGAUAGAUAUAUUUAGAUAGAAAUAUUUUCUGAACUUUCACUAGAGUUUACAAAAAUCAAGAAAUGGUAACUUGAUGCUUUUUCAGGCAUGUAAUUGAUAAAGCUCAACAU
This is a long non-coding RNA of Oxyura jamaicensis (ruddy duck), 5044 nucleotides long. RefSeq lists it as uncharacterized. The transcript is spliced from 2 exons. Lineage: Eukaryota; Metazoa; Chordata; Aves; Anseriformes; Anatidae. The record is from RefSeq and is a predicted model, not a curated record.